UAUAAGGGAUUUUGAGUUUUUGCUUGUAACAUUUGACCACUCGUCUUAUUCAAAAUUUUUUAAAAUUAUUAUUUAUUUUAUUUGUGACUUAAUUUAUUAUCUACAGUAUUUUAAGCACAACUUUUUAUUUUUAAUAUUUGCAAAAAAAAAUUGAAUAAGACGAGUGGUUAAACGUUGUAAGCAAAAACUUAAAAUCUCUUAUA
Molecule: microRNA precursor, 203 nt
Organism: Oryza sativa Japonica Group (Japanese rice)
Lineage: Eukaryota; Viridiplantae; Streptophyta; Magnoliopsida; Poales; Poaceae
Rfam family: MIR812 microRNA precursor family
Source: Rfam